This 440-nucleotide long non-coding RNA is filed under the name Vitis vinifera (wine grape). RNAcentral's name for it is "long non-coding RNA (VVIN_LNC000951)". Lineage: Eukaryota; Viridiplantae; Streptophyta; Magnoliopsida; Vitales; Vitaceae. The record is from RNAcentral.
UUUUUUAUAGGAAACACAAAUAUAUAUAUUGAUAGAAAAAGAAGUACAAAAGAAGGAUGAGGAAUCCUCCCACCAAAGAUAAAACUAAACAACACAAUAAAAGGAACUUUAAUAAUAUUGACCAUAACUCAUUGUAGACCAAAGGCUUUUUCCCCUCAGAGGUUCAAAGUUGAGCGAAGUAAGAUUGAUGAAUCAAGAUACUUUCAAAAGCUCACUUAGUAAGUGUUAUGAAACUGCCAAAUACCAUCCAAACAAGUAUUUCUAAGUAUUUCUAAAAUCAUUUAUGAAUAUUUAUGAAUAAUAUUGACCAUAACUCAUUGUAGACCAAAGGUUUUUUCCCCUCAGAGGUCAAAGUUGAGCAAAGUAAGAUUGGUGAAUCAAGAUACUUUCAAAAGCUCACUUAGUAAGUGUUAUGAAACUGCCAAAUACCAGCCAAACAU